Long non-coding RNA from Metopolophium dirhodum (rose-grain aphid), 211 nucleotides. RefSeq lists it as uncharacterized. NCBI's taxonomy places the organism in Eukaryota, Metazoa, Arthropoda, Insecta, Hemiptera, Aphididae. The record is from RefSeq and is a predicted model, not a curated record. The transcript has 3 exons.
AAGCUGAAGAUCUAUGUAUGAACGAUUUUGUGGAAUCAUAUAUUUGGAAUGAUGGUGAAAAUGAAAAUCCUCCAUUAAUUGCUGAAGAAGCUGUUAAUUCAACUGUAAAUGAAAAUUCCUACAAACCUUCAACUUCGAAGCUAUCAACUACAAUCAAUGCUCACCUAGACCAACUCAACCAAGUAGUACUCAAGAAGACCGGAAUGAGGCC